GGUGUGGCAUAGUGGUCUGGUGUUGGACUAUGACUCUGGAAACAAGGGUUCAAUUCCCAACUCAACCA
This is a non-coding RNA of Phrynosoma platyrhinos (Desert horned lizard), 68 nucleotides long. The record is from the annotation of a GenBank genome assembly. NCBI's taxonomy places the organism in Eukaryota, Metazoa, Chordata, Lepidosauria, Squamata, Phrynosomatidae.